This 798-nucleotide long non-coding RNA is filed under the name Carica papaya (papaya). RNAcentral describes it as "long non-coding RNA (CPAP_LNC001803)". Lineage: Eukaryota; Viridiplantae; Streptophyta; Magnoliopsida; Brassicales; Caricaceae. The record is from RNAcentral.
CUAGCCCAGUAAAGAUGUCACACUAUCUCACUGUCACAGAAGUAAAGAUUGAUAGAAAAUAAAAUCGACCAAUUGAGCAUAAUUUAUAACAAAUUCAUUUAUCAAUAAUAAAAUUUUUUACUGUCUACUUACCUCGGUGACAUUCAUGAAAACAACUUAUGAAAACAAUAACAUUAUAAACAUCAUAAGAUCGUGCACACUCUGUAACUUAACACAUAUCAUACUUUUGUAUUUCAAUCAUUAGGUAACAAAUUUUCUCUUUUAUCAGCCUACUAGUAUCCAUAGGGAUCCAUAAAGGGUCCCCGCUAUACGUGAACCAUUCACCUUAAUUCCAGGGCCGUCCCUAUACCCCGUUCGGUAUGAGCACCAAAACCAUAAACCUCAAUACCCCGUCCGGUAUGAGGGUGAAGUUGGCCGUCCCCAUACCCCGUCCGGUAUGAGCGCUAAAACAUUUAAAGUCUCCAUACCCCGUCCGAUAUGAGAGACCCUGUUCCCGGUAGUAUUUCCUAUGGACUCGGUCCAUCCACAAUCUCCCAAGAUAUCUAGUGAGACUGUCAACUUAUCCAUUUAUAAAUUCACAUACCCUUUUUAUUUUUCUUAGUCUCAAUUACCCAAUCAACAUGAAUACGUAAACUAGUAACGCAUACCAAACAAGGCAACACAACGUCGAGUUCACAAUAAUUCAAACCAUAAUAUAUUAAACAGUGAUUCAUGCAUACGAAACCACAGAAUAAACAAUCCAAUACUAUACUGCAUUUAGACUGUAGAAUACAUCAAACAGGAACAGACCGACAAAUA